RNAcentral lists this ribosomal RNA (389 nucleotides) under uncultured bacterium. Its description in RNAcentral is "bacterial SSU rRNA". It matches the Rfam family "Bacterial small subunit ribosomal RNA", at positions 30 to 418 of the family's 1533-position model. The record is from RNAcentral.
AUUGAACGCUGGCGGCAUGCCUUACACAUGCAAGUCGAACGGCAGCACGGGAGCAAUCCUGGUGGCGAGUGGCGAACGGGUGAGUAAUAUAUCGGAACGUGCCCAGUCGUGGGGAUAACGUAGCGAAAGCUACGCUAAUACCGCAUACGAUCUAUGGAUGAAAGCGGGGGAUCGCAAGACCUCGCGCGAUUGGAGCGGCCGAUAUCAGAUUAGGUAGUUGGUGAGGUAAAGGCUCACCAAGCCGACGAUCUGUAGCUGGUCUGAGAGGACGACCAGCCACACUGGGACUGAGACACGGCCCAGACUCCUACGGGAGGCAGCAGUGGGGGAAUUUUUGGACAAUGGGCGCAAGCCUGAUCCAGCAAUGCCGCGUGCAGGAUGAAGGCCUU